UAGGGAAUCUUCCGCAAUGGGCGAAAGCCUGACGGAGCAACGCCGCGUGAGUGAUGAAGGUCUUCGGAUCGUAAAACUCUGUUAUUAGGGAAGAACAAAUGUGUAAGUAACUAUGCACGUCUUGACGGUACCUAAUCAGAAAGCCACGGCUAACUACGUGCCAGCAGCCGCGGUAAUACGUAGGUGGCAAGCGUUAUCCGGAAUUAUUGGGCGUAAAGCGCGCGUAGGCGGUUUUUUAAGUCUGAUGUGAAAGCCCACGGCUCAACCGUGGAGGGUCAUUGGAAACUGGAAAACUUGAGUGCAGAAGAAGAAAGUGGAAUUCCAUGUGUAGCGGUGAAAUGCGCAGAGAUAUGGAGGAACACCAGUGGCGAAGGCGACUUUCUGGUCUGUAACUGACGCUUAUGUGCGAAAGCGUGGGGAUCAAACAGG
Molecule: ribosomal RNA, 429 nt
Filed under: Actinomycetes bacterium
Lineage: Bacteria; Bacillati; Actinomycetota; Actinomycetes
Description: Actinobacteria bacterium partial 16S ribosomal RNA
Rfam family: Bacterial small subunit ribosomal RNA
Source: RNAcentral